UGAUCCUGGCUCAGAUUGAACGCUGGCGGCAGGCCUAACACAUGCAAGUCGAACGGUAACAUUUAUAGCUUGCUAUAAGAUGACGAGUGGCGGACGGGUGAGUAAUGCUUAGGAACUUGCCUUUUGGUGGGGGAUAACAGUUGGAAACGACUGCUAAUACCGCAUAAUGUCUUUGGACCAAAGGGGGCUUCGGCUCUCACCAAGAGAGAGGCCUAAGUGAGAUUAGUUAGUUGGUGGGGUAAAGGCUUACCAAGACGACGAUCUCUAGCUGUUCUGAGAGGAAGAUCAACCACACUGGGACUGAGACACGGCCCAGACUCCUACGGGAGGCAGCAGUGGGGAAUAUUGCACAAUGGGGGGAACCCUGAUGCAGCCAUGCCGCGUGUGUGAAGAAGGCCUUCGGGUUGUAAAGCACUUUCAGUUGUGAGGAAAGGUUAGUAGUUAAUACCUGCUAGCUGUGACGUUAGCAACAGAAGAAGCACCGGCUAACUCCGUGCCAGCAGCCGCGGUAAUACGGAGGGUGCGAGCGCUAAUCGGAAUUACUGGGCGUAAAGCGCACGCAGGUGGUUUGUUAAGCUAGAUGUGAAAGCCCAGGGCUCAACCUUGGAAUAGCAUUUAGAACUGGCAGGCUAGAGUCUUGGAGAGGGGAGUGGAAUUCCAGGUGUAGCGGUGAAAUGCGUAGAGAUCUGGAGGAACAUCAGUGGCGAAGGCGACUCCCUGGCCAAAGACUGACACUCAUGUGCGAAAGUGUGGGUAGCGAACAGGAUUAGAUACCCUGGUAGU
RNAcentral lists this ribosomal RNA (783 nucleotides) under uncultured marine bacterium. Its description in RNAcentral is "bacterial SSU rRNA". It matches the Rfam family "Bacterial small subunit ribosomal RNA", at positions 14 to 794 of the family's 1533-position model. The record is from RNAcentral.